RNAcentral lists this ribosomal RNA (756 nucleotides) under Flavobacterium sp. RNAcentral describes it as "bacterial SSU rRNA". It matches the Rfam family "Bacterial small subunit ribosomal RNA", at positions 90 to 849 of the family's 1533-position model. The record is from RNAcentral. Lineage: Bacteria; Pseudomonadati; Bacteroidota; Flavobacteriia; Flavobacteriales; Flavobacteriaceae.
AGAGACCGGCGCACGGGUGCGUAACGCGUAUGCAAUCUACCUUUUACAGGGGAAUAGCCCAGAGAAAUUUGGAUUAAUGCCCCAUAGUAUAAUUUAUUCGCAUGAGUAGAUUAUUAAAGUUCCAACGGUAAAAGAUGAGCAUGCGUCCCAUUAGCUAGAUGGUAAGGUAACGGCUUACCAUGGCGACGAUGGGUAGGGGUCCUGAGAGGGAGAUCCCCCACACUGGUACUGAGACACGGACCAGACUCCUACGGGAGGCAGCAGUGAGGAAUAUUGGUCAAUGGACGCAAGUCUGAACCAGCCAUGCCGCGUGCAGGAUGACGGUCCUAUGGAUUGUAAACUGCUUUUGUACGAGAAGAAACACUCCGACGUGUCGGAGCUUGACGGUAUCGUAAGAAUAAGGAUCGGCUAACUCCGUGCCAGCAGCCGCGGUAAUACGGAGGAUCCAAGCGUUAUCCGGAAUCAUUGGGUUUAAAGGGUCCGUAGGCGGUUUAGUAAGUCAGUGGUGAAAGCCCAUCGCUCAACGGUGGAACGGCCAUUGAUACUGCUAAACUUGAAUUAUUAGGAAGUAACUAGAAUAUGUAGUGUAGCGGUGAAAUGCUUAGAGAUUACAUGGAAUACCAAUUGCGAAGGCAGGUUACUACUAAUGGAUUGACGCUGAUGGACGAAAGCGUGGGUAGCGAACAGGAUUAGAUACCCUGGUAGUCCACGCCGUAAACGAUGGAUACUAGCUGUUGGGCGCAAGUUCAGUGGCUA